RNAcentral lists this ribosomal RNA (253 nucleotides) under uncultured bacterium. Its description in RNAcentral is "partial 16S ribosomal RNA". It matches the Rfam family "Bacterial small subunit ribosomal RNA", at positions 524 to 776 of the family's 1533-position model. The record is from RNAcentral.
UACGUAGGGUCCGAGCGUUGUCCGGAAUUACUGGGCGUAAAGAGCUCGUAGGUGGUUUGUCGCGUUGUUCGUGAAAACUCACAGCUCAACUGUGGGCGUGCGGGCGAUACGGGCAGACUGGAGUACUGCAGGGGAGACUGGAAUUCCUGGUGUAGCGGUGAAAUGCGCAGAUAUCAGGAAGAACACCUAUGGCGAAGGCAGCUCUCUGGGACGGUACUGACGCUGAGACGCGAAAGCGUGGGGAGCGAACAGG